UGAUUGGUCCCCAGCCUUCCCACGUGACUGGAGCGCAUAGCAACGUGUCCUGGUUACAGGAAGCACUGCAGUGGGACACUCUCUAGGGGGCUACAGCGCUUGUAGAAGCGCCGAUCGGCACCCUUAGAGUAUUCCCACCUCGGAUUCAUUUCAAUCUAACCAUUAUCUAACAAUUUUCCAUCCAGGUGGGGCAAAGCCAGGGGUCUGAUAAAUACAGGUGGCGAACACAUGUAUGGUUUGAUCUUCACAUCCCUGUAUAGCAGUACUUGAACGUUAAUGAAGGGUCAAUAAACAAAAGCAGAUGACAGAUGUCAAGAAGAUGAACUACUAACAUGAAAGCUGACCAUUACAAGAAGAAAAAAAAAAAAAGAAAAAGAAAAAAUCUUUGUUGUGGAGACCAUUGCAUAAAUGAUGAAAGGCUAGACAAGGAAAGCAGCCGAGGAGAGUUAUUGCAGAUUGUAUUUCAACAUGGGGACAUUGUGUUUGGAAAUAGUUGGCUCAGUUAACUCUCCAGGGCUACAUCUUCGCUGUGACAUAAGUGGGGAAACAAUACAUCAUAAAUCUUCAUGUCCUGUACUUUUACUGUAAGUUAAGCCUUUUGGUUAUUUAAAGGUAGGCUACUAGUUAUCGUGGAUUGACAGAUGCAAAGUGUAAAAUGUUCUACUCUAUGGAUUUACUACACUAAAGCCUUAUCAUAAGCCAAAAGAACUUCUAUCAUUCCUUGUCAUAAUAAUAGGGGGGACAGUUAUUUUAAGAUAUAUAUUUAAUACAUUCAAUGUUUCAGUGGGGCAACGUGCCAUAAAAGUCAUAUUAUGACUUCAUGUGUAUACAUAUACAAUGGAGAAAAAGCAGCACACCACAAGGAAAAGUUGAAAACGUGUGCUAACCAGCGAGGAGUUGAUAUAAGAAGAAAUUCAUGCUACAAACAUUUUUUUUUCCACCAUUUUGGAAUGCAUCAAUGAUCUUUUUGUUUUGUAUAUAUAGAUAGAUUUAGUUUCCUAAAGUUUGUUUUUUAGGUGCUGCCUAGCAACUAAUUCACUUCCUGUCUCGGUGACUACUGUUUUACUAGUCACAAAAGGUUCUGUCUUCUACUCAGUACUGAAGCAGGGUAAAAUACAGCCUAUUGCAGUUGCAUGGUGGUAAUUAUAUGAUGAAAAUGCUUGCACAAAAAUAUGUUUUGUGCCAAUUUAUUUAUUAUUCUUUUGUGUUGUUUACUUUUUCUUCA
Hyla sarda is the source of this 1225-nucleotide long non-coding RNA. RefSeq lists it as uncharacterized. The record is from RefSeq and is a predicted model, not a curated record. Lineage: Eukaryota; Metazoa; Chordata; Amphibia; Anura; Hylidae. The transcript is spliced from 4 exons.